GACGAACGCUGGCGGCGUGCCUAAUACAUGCAAGUAGAACGCACAGUUUAUACCGUAGCUUGCUACACCAUGGACUGUGAGUUGCGAACGGGUGAGUAACGCGUAGGUAACCUGCCUGGUAGCGGGGGAUAACUAUUGGAAACGAUAGCUAAUACCGCAUAAUAUUGAUUAUUGCAUGAUAAUUGAUUGAAAGAUGCUAUUGAAUCACUACCAGAUGGACCUGCGUUGUAUUAGCUAGUAGGUGAGGUAACGGCUCACCUAGGCGACGAUACAUAGCCGACCUGAGAGGGUGAUCGGCCACACUGAGACUGUGACACGGCCCAGACGCCUACGGGAGGCAGCAGUAGGGAAUCGUCGGCAAGGGACGAAAGUCUGACCGAGCAACGCCGCGUGAGUGAAGAAGGUUUUCGGAUCGUAAAGCUCUGUUGUAAGAUAAGAACGGGUGUGAGAGUGGAAAGUUCACACUGUGACGGUAUCUUACCAGAAAGGGACGGCUAACUACGUG
RNAcentral lists this ribosomal RNA (505 nucleotides) under uncultured bacterium. RNAcentral's name for it is "partial 16S ribosomal RNA". It matches the Rfam family "Bacterial small subunit ribosomal RNA", at positions 28 to 507 of the family's 1533-position model. The record is from RNAcentral.